RNAcentral lists this long non-coding RNA (1045 nucleotides) under Citrus maxima (pomelo). Its description in RNAcentral is "long non-coding RNA (CMAX_LNC001745)". The record is from RNAcentral. Lineage: Eukaryota; Viridiplantae; Streptophyta; Magnoliopsida; Sapindales; Rutaceae.
AUUAAUCAACAAAUUAACACACAAUAAUUUUAUUUAUUUACUUUUUAUGUUUUAGAAAGAGACAGUACAUAUUGAAACUAAGUACCUAUUGAAACUAACACACACAUCCAUAUUCUUAUUUUAUUACACAUAAAAAAGAUUAAUACUUCGUACACUUAACUAGUAUAAUCAAGAUUUCUUCCAUAGUGAGGAAUAACAAGAAAAUCGAGAUUAUCGUUCACAUUCUCCCCAUCGGCAAUACCGGCCUGCCACAUUUGAGGGACCCCCUCAAACCAAUUGUUAUUACCUGAAAAUUUUACGUUAGAAAACUUAAUCAUAAGUCUAUAUAUUAAGAUACGAGUUAUAUAUGACAUUCAACUGGAGUUAGCCGACAAACCUGCGCAAGGAGUUUUCAUGUUCUUCAAGGUAAUCACAAAAGAUCUCUACUCGCUUAUGGUAACCGUAACCAAAACACAAAAGCAAUUAAGUUGCCCUAACGCAUUUAUGCUAUGCGUGUAGUUUGAUAUAACGUGUAUAAAUAUAUAUGUGUGUGUGAUAGCGGUCCCAGUCAAAGCGUAAGUGAUUGAAUAUAUUUCUACUUAGGGUGAGAAAUAAGACCACAAGAUAUUUGAUUUUUUGGAUAAUAGUCAAUGCCUUUAUUCAAGUCUGUUGGAGCUUAUUUAUACUUGAAACAACUUAGCCAAACAAUCUAACUAUCACUCGAGAUUGUAGGCAGGUACUAAGCUAACAACUUGACUUAUUCUUUUAACUUAACAAAACAACCGAAUAUGAAUUAAAUCAAAUAAUAAAUCUCCAUUAAAUCAGCAAGUGAUCCCAUGUUGACCGAAUCAACCCAUGAUCCCUGUAGACUGCUCCAACGACCAUUCUUCCAACGUGCUGCACGUUGCAUGUAACGUAUGCAUGAGUCUUGAGCCAUGUGACCGUUCGACUUCCAAGCAUCCAUGCAUAAUUCAAACGUACCCAGCAUACUUGUUGCUAGGCUUUGGAAUCCUUGACGACCUCCGCGGCGUAUCAGUGUGUGAGGUAGCCGACGUGCCAAGGUCGG